This 658-nucleotide long non-coding RNA is filed under the name Calidris pugnax (ruff). Its description in RNAcentral is "lncRNA (ENSCPUG00000015847.1)". Lineage: Eukaryota; Metazoa; Chordata; Aves; Charadriiformes; Scolopacidae. The record is from RNAcentral.
CAAAUGACAUUUGGUGUCGACACUUGCUUUUGAUGUUUUUGCUGUUGGUUUGUUAAAGGCAAAGAGCUUUCACGCCGGGCGAAUGGAGGAGUCACCAUCUCAGCUGAUGGACGUUCCAUGCAGCCUGGAGCUGAAGAAACAGACUGAAGCACAAAAAGGAUCACGGACUAUAGAUCUGCACCUCUUACAAGGAUGCCAGAAUUUUGGAGGUUGCAAAGAGGCAGAAAAUCUGCAAACUUUACUAAAGAGGGUAAGUAUUUAAUACAACUGUAAACAAGUGCAGAUUCUGUGGGGCUCUGGAAGUGCUCCUGGCAUUCCCUGGUGUGAAGAAGUGGGAAUGGGCUAGCAAGCAAGGAUGCCACAUGCCAUAUUCUCUUUUAACUCCACAUUUUACUCGUACAACUUCACACUUUCAGGCUGAAUAUCCCAGCAGAGCUAUUGCCUUAUUAAAUGGAGUGGUAAUUCAUAUGUUCCAGCUCUCUGUAACUAAACUUAAGGAAUUAUGGAGUGAUGGCUCUGGUUCCACGGCAUGGCAGUAACCUGCAGUGAGGAAAACCAGAGAAAUACUGCAGUUGGGUAACUCACCCCACAAAAGGAAGAGGUAAACAGAAAUUAACAGGUGGUUGGAAAUGCAUAUCCUGCUCUUCCAGAUAAACAC